RNAcentral lists this ribosomal RNA (484 nucleotides) under Gemelliphila palaticanis. RNAcentral's name for it is "bacterial SSU rRNA". It matches the Rfam family "Bacterial small subunit ribosomal RNA", at positions 9 to 474 of the family's 1533-position model. The record is from RNAcentral. Lineage: Bacteria; Bacillati; Bacillota; Bacilli; Caryophanales; Gemellaceae.
GAGUUUGAUUCUGGCUCAGGACGAACGCUGGCGGCGUGCCUAAUACAUGCAAGUCGAGCGGAGUUGAAUAAGUGCUUGCACUAAUUCAACUUAGCGGCGAACGGGUGAGUAACACGUAAAGAACCUGCCUCAUAGACUGGGACAACUACUGGAAACGGUAGCUAAUACCGGAUAACAUAUUUUUCUGCAUGGAAGAAUAUUGAAAGUCGGUCAUGCUGACACUAUGAGAUGGCUUUGCGGUGCAUUAGCUAGUUGGUAGGGUAAAGGCCUACCAAGGCGACGAUGCAUAGCCGACCUGAGAGGGUGAUCGGCCACACUGGGACUGAGACACGGCCCAGACUCCUACGGGAGGCAGCAGUAGGGAAUCUUCCGCAAUGGACGAAAGUCUGACGGAGCAACGCCGCGUGAGUGAAGAAGGAUUUCGGUUCGUAAAACUCUGUUGUUAGGGAAGAAUGAUUGUAUAGUAACUAUAUACAGAGAGACG